GACGAACGCUGGCGGCGUGCUUAACACAUGCAAGUCGAACGGAAAGGCCCUGCUUUUGUGGGGUGCUCGAGUGGCGAACGGGUGAGUAACACGUGAGUAACCUGCCCUUGACUUUGGGAUAACUUCAGGAAACUGGGGCUAAUAUCGGAUAGGAGCUCCUGCUGCAUGGUGGGGGUUGGAAAGUUUCGGCGGUUGGGGAUGGACUCGCGGCUUAUCAGCUUGUUGGUGGGGUAGUGGCUUACCAAGGCUUUGACGGGUAGCCGGCCUGAGAGGGUGACCGGCCACAUUGGGACUGAGAUACGGCCCAGACUCCUACGGGAGGCAGCAGGGGGGAAUAUUGCACAGUGAGCGGAAGCCUGAUGCAGCAACGCCGCGUGCGGGAUGACGGCCUUCGGGUUGUAAACCGCUUUCGCCUGUGACGAAGCGUGAGUGACGGUAAUGGGUAAAGAAGCACCGGCUAACUACGUG
Molecule: ribosomal RNA, 468 nt
Filed under: uncultured bacterium
Lineage: Bacteria
Description: partial 16S ribosomal RNA
Rfam family: Bacterial small subunit ribosomal RNA
Source: RNAcentral